ACCCAAUGUCUUUUGUCAGGACACCUUCCAUUCUUUUCUCACGAAGGUUGUCUGUUACAGCGUUGGAAUAUCAAUCAUACCGUACUCGUCUGUCAUUAACCUUAGUUGGUGGCUUGAUGUGUGCCGUUCUGGCACUAUCUUGAGUUGGUCUUUGUGUCCAAUGAGUUGAAAUCUCCAUAUUCCUUAGCGGGAACAAAUUAGAGACUUCUUAGUGAUGACACAUACAUUU
This 229-nucleotide small nucleolar RNA is filed under the name Metarhizium acridum CQMa 102. Its description in RNAcentral is "Small nucleolar RNA snR191". It matches the Rfam family "Small nucleolar RNA snR191". Lineage: Eukaryota; Fungi; Ascomycota; Sordariomycetes; Hypocreales; Clavicipitaceae. The record is from Rfam by way of RNAcentral.